This is a long non-coding RNA of Cyprinus carpio carpio, 471 nucleotides long. Lineage: Eukaryota; Metazoa; Chordata; Actinopteri; Cypriniformes; Cyprinidae. The record is from Ensembl.
UGAAAUCUGCAGGACAGUAGCUCUCCAGGAGCAGGGUUGGAGACCCCUGCUUUAGAGGAUGUGAGUGUGUCAGAGGCUGCGUAAUGAAGUAUUUCUCAAAGGAAGUCCACCCUCAUCCGUGUCCCUCUUACCCACACGUCUCACUCCUGCAAUUACAGAUCAUAAAUGAAGAAACUUUGGUUAAUUUCAGAGCAGAUUUGGAAUGCCAUGAAGAUGGGCAGAGGAGGAGAGCUGCGUGCUGACAGGUAUCUCUCUCAUCAUGUCUGAAGUCCAGAGGGGAUGUGAAGCUCUGCAAGACACACACUGAAGGAGACUGCGUUGAUUGUUCUGGCAAGUGUUUUGACUCCUCACCUCACUUCACCUGAAAUUAAACCCUGCCAACGAGACAUUUAGAUGCUGAUGUUAGCCAAAUUAGCCUCCUACAGACAUUGACGCUCAUUUAUGGCCUUUCUGCUGAUUAUAAUUUCCCCC